RNAcentral lists this ribosomal RNA (548 nucleotides) under uncultured archaeon. RNAcentral describes it as "bacterial SSU rRNA". It matches the Rfam family "Archaeal small subunit ribosomal RNA", at positions 459 to 1007 of the family's 1478-position model. The record is from RNAcentral.
CAGCAGCCGCGGUAAUACCAGCUCUUCAAGUGGUCGGGAAUAUUAUUGGGCUUAAAGUGUCCGUAGCCGGUUAGAACAGUUCCUGGUAAAAUCUGGCAGCUUAACUGUCAGGUCGCUAGGAAUACUAUCUUACUAGAGGGUGGGAAAGGUUUGGGGUACUCCAGGGGUAGCGGUGAAAUGCGAUAAUCCGUGGGGGACCACCAGUGGCGAAGGCGCCAGACUGGAACACGCCUGACGGUGAGGGACGAAAGCCAGGGGAGCGAACGGGAUUAGAUACCCCGGUAGUCCUGGCCGUAAACGAUGCGUGCUAGGUGUUGGUAGGGCUUUGAGCCGUAUCAGUGCCGUAGGGAAACUGUUAAGCGCGCCGCCUGGGAAGUACGCUCGCAAGAGUGAAACUUAAAGGAAUUGGCGGGGGAGCACCACAAGGGGUGAAGCCUGCGGUUCAAUUGGACUCAACGCCGGGAAACUUACCGGGGGCGACAGCAGAAUGAAGGUCAGGUUGACGACCUUACCAGACAAGCUGAGCGGAGGUGCAUGGCCGUCGCCAG